UGGACUGUAUUUUAAAGGCUAUGGCCAAAUUUAGCUUAAAAAUAGAAUGAGGUGUAAAUUGAUAAAAAAUAUAAAUAUUGGGACUAAAUUUAACAUUACGCCAUAAAUAAAUAAAAAUAACUACCCGGUAGGAACCUAAAACCCUGGUAUUCCGCCGUCUUCCUUCGCUAUUUGUUCUCUGUUUGCAAAAACCCUAAUCUUGGACCCAAUAACACAAACAGAAAGAAUCCCAAAUCAGAAAAUGGUGAUGAAGGUGAGACAUCCAUGGAGAUUUCUUCUUUUCCGAAAUUACCCUCGUCGAUCUCCACUCCGUAUUUCCGCCAUAUCUCAGAUCCGUGCCAAGAUGAGCUUCGUUAACUCGUUAACUCGCCAUCCUCCGAUGUUUUACAUGACAUUGACAACCUCCUGAAUGAUAGUAUGCCACCAGCAAUCAAUCGCAUCUAUCAAGAGUAAGAGAUCCCAAGACUUCAACAAAGCAAGGAGCUUUGAAGCAAUCUUCACUGCUAAUAAUAUAUAUGUUUUCUCCAGAUCUUGGUAAUGGUCGUUCUGCAAGGUCCCCACCUCUAUCUCUGCUUUUAAUGAUUUGAAAAACCAAAUUUAUGUACAAGGCAACAAGCAAGUGGAGCCAGAAGAUUUCUAAGGUUUACCAGAAGAGUUGAAGAAACUUUGUUGGGGGGAAAUUCCAAGCUACUUUCAACCUAUUGCGAGCUGAAUCGUAAAAGAUUUUGCAAAAGUUGGGUUUCGCCAUAGUCUGGCUCUAGUUCUGUUUUGUGCUGCAGUAAAAGAGAUGGAAGAUUUUCUUCCUUAACAAAUCAUCCGCAAAUCCCACCUGAAAACCAACUUCCUUGGCCUUUUUAAGUGUUGCCCCCCACUUCUUCAACGUAUCCAAGUCUAAUUUCUUAGCUGGAAAAUCUUCCAUCUCUUUUACGAUUUGGACUUGGAUACGUUGAAGAAGUGGGGAGCAACACUUAAAAAGGCCAAGGAAGUUGGUUUUAAGGUGGGAUUUGCGGAUGAUUUGUUAAGGAAGAAAAUCUUCCAUCUCUUUUACUGCAGCAACUAUAUGAUUUUAUAUUUACUUUUCUCUUAGACUAUAUGGUUUUUUGGUAUGAAAUCGUGAGUUCGUAUUGUGUUUUGCAUCGUGUUAUAAUUGCAUUUAGAAUAUUUCAUAUUUUUAUAAUUUUAUUUAAGUCACUAAAUUGUUAAAA
RNA transcript from Gossypium raimondii (Peruvian cotton), 1205 nucleotides. RefSeq lists it as uncharacterized. The record is from RefSeq and is a predicted model, not a curated record. The transcript is spliced from 4 exons. NCBI's taxonomy places the organism in Eukaryota, Viridiplantae, Streptophyta, Magnoliopsida, Malvales, Malvaceae.